AAUGAACGCUGGCGGCAUGCUUAACACAUGCGAGUCGAACGGCAGCGCGGGCAGCGGCCUGGCGGAGGGUGGGGGACGGGCGGGUGAGGGAUGGGUACGUGGCCAGCAGCGUUGUAGUGGGCGACGACAGACGGAUGAAUACAGUAAACGAGCUUAGGGUGUAAGCGGGGGACCGAAAGGGCUUGGGCCUUUGGGCGGGCCGAUGUCGGAUUAGCGGGUUGGCGGGGUAAAGGCUUACCAAGGCGCCGAUCCGUAGCUGGUCUGAGAGGACGAGCAGCCACACUGGAACUGAGACACGGCCCAGACUCCUACGGUAGGCAGCAGUGGGGAAUGUUGGACAAUGGGGGCAACCCUGAUCCAGCCAUGCCGCGUGGGGGAAGAAGGCCUUCGGGUUGUAAAGCGCUUUUGUUCGGGAAGAAAAGCACUGGGCUAAUACCCCGGUGGGAUGACGGUACCUGAAGAAUAAGCACCGGCUAACUACGUG
This 484-nucleotide ribosomal RNA is filed under the name uncultured bacterium. RNAcentral's name for it is "partial 16S ribosomal RNA". It matches the Rfam family "Bacterial small subunit ribosomal RNA", at positions 28 to 507 of the family's 1533-position model. The record is from RNAcentral.